RNAcentral lists this long non-coding RNA (1504 nucleotides) under Helianthus annuus (common sunflower). Lineage: Eukaryota; Viridiplantae; Streptophyta; Magnoliopsida; Asterales; Asteraceae. The record is from RNAcentral.
ACAAAAAACACGGACACAAAUUAGGGUUUCAUAAAUCUCCUCAUUCUUAUCCGCCUCCCUCUCUCUCUCUUGCGGCGAUUCAGAAACACGAAGCUAUCUUCACCAGAUCUGUUUGAGAUUUUGCUUUCUUCGGCUGCUAUUGAUGGUGGUUGUCUGGUUAAGUUGGCAUUCCGACCACUCGACAACCGUAAGAUCGACGGAGAAGAGGUGCAACUGACACUUUUAGAUCUACGGCCCCUAAACCCUAAUGCGUUCAAACAUUCAGAUCUGGUAUAAGAUCGACGGAGAAGAGGUGCAACUGAGCUUUUAGAUCUGCUGCUCACAAACCCUAAUACGGUCAAACUUUUAGAUCUGGUAUAAGGUGGCUGAACAACAAGUGAGUAGUUUGUGUUUGGAGGCUCAGGAGUUCAUGAUUGCUGGUAGAUGGUUGGAUUUGGCUUCGUUGACGAUUACUUCUGCUGAUUUGGUGUUUUCUAAAGCGUCAUAUAAAGGUUAAAUCGUUAAACUCAAUCUGGUGAUUCAGUUUUCAGCUUUUUAUUUGUUGUGUUUCUAUGUGGCUAUUAAAAUACUUGUGUUUGUUGGUGCAACUGCUGUCGAGGAUAAGCUGCAAUAAGGGGUUUGGUUUCAAUGACACCAGCGACAGUGGUGACUUACGGUAGUGGUACUACAUCAUGCUUCAGCAGGGAGUUCUGCAACCAGACAUGUGGGGAGUAACACCUUGAGAUAUGUGGGACUGGAAAUGGUCACCAGUCGCUACCCUAGCAGGCUACCCUAGCAGUCCAGGUGGCGGUGACUCCAGUGCCACCUCCCAUAGCCAGAACAUCAUCAGCUGCAGUUAUAGCCUCUAGAGAAGAUGUGCUUACCAAAAUGGCAAUAUUUGUGUAUGGGACUUGACUGCAAAUUCGUGCAGCUGUGAGCUGAAUGAUGAACCUUUGGUUGAAGAUGAUGAUGAUGAAGAUGAUGAUGAUGAGGAUGAAGAUGAUGUUGUAGAUGCUAUUUGUGAUCCCAAAGCCAGAUGUUUUCAAGUCCGUUUUCAAGUCCCCUGCUUCAGACACAUACGUAAUAUUCGGCGAAGCAAAAAUAGAGGAUCUGAACUCACAGUUGCAGAGUCAGGCAGGAGAGCAAUUCAAAGCACCUAACCUUAGCAACGUGAUAUCGACGUCUGAGCCAACAGCCGUGGCUCAAGACGAUGAGGAUGUAGACGAGACCGGGGUUUCGAUUUGUUUUUGUUGUUCCUGUAAUGUUUGAGAUUGUUUGAUCAUGUUGUUAUCUUUUUUGCAUUGACAAUUGGGUCUUUGCUGAAUUUGAGGAUUCGAUGAAUGAUAAAGAAAAUGGUUUGUUUGAGAUGUGGUUGGGUGUUUGAUAUAGUUUUUGCAUUUUUAAAAUUAUAUUGUGCAUUGACAAUUGGGUCUUUGCUGAAUUUAAGGAUUUGAGGAUUAAUAAAGGAAAUGGUUUGUUUGAGAUAUGGUUGGGUGUUUGAUAUUGUUUUUUCAUUUUUAGAAUU